ACUGAGACACUGCCCAGACACCUACGGGUGGCUGCAGUCGAGAAUCUUCGGCAAUGGGCGAAAGCCUGACCGAGCGAUGCCACGUGCGGGAUGAAGGCCCUCGGGUUGUAAACCGCUGUCGUAGGGGAGGAAGGUUCCGUGAAGAGCGGAACUUGACCUAGCCUAGGAGGAAGUACGGGCUAAGUUCGUGCCAGCAGCCGCGGUAACACGAACCGUACGAACGUUAUUCGGAAUUACUGGGCUUAAAGGGUUUGUAGGCGGCCUUAUAAGUCAGGUGUGAAAGCCCUCGGCUCAACCGAGGAAUAGCGCUUGAUACUGUAAGGCUUGAGGGAGACAGGGGUAAGCGGAACUGAUGGUGGAGCGGUGAAAUGCGUUGAUAUCAUCAGGAACACCGGUGGCGAAAGCGGCUUACUGGGUCUCUUCUGACGCUGAGGAACGAAAGCUAGGGUAGCGAACGGGAUUAGAUACCCCGGUAGUCCUAGCUGUAAACGAUGAGCACUUAUCUGGGGAUCCUCCCAUAGGUUCCCGGAUGUAGCGAAAGUGUUAAGUGCUCCGCCUGGGGAGUAUGGUCGCAAGGCUGAAACUCAAAGAAAUUGACGGGGGCUCACACAAGCGGUGGAGGAUGUGGCUUAAUUCGAGGCUACGCGAAGAACCUUAUCCAGGCCUUGACAUGUACGGAUUAACCCGGUGAAAGCCGGGCCACGCCUUCGGGUGGAACGUGCACAGGUGCUGCAUGGCUGUCGUCAGCUCGUGUCGUGAGAUGUCGGGUUAAGUCCCUUAACGAGCGAAACCCUUGUCUCUAGUUGCCAGCGAGUAAUGUCGGGGACUCUAGAGAGACUGCCGGUGUUAAACCGGAGGAAGGCGGGGAUGACGUCAAGUCCUCAUGGCCUUUAUGGCCUGGGCUGCACACGUCCUACAAUGGUAUCUACAAAGGGAAGCAAGCUCGCGAGAGUAAGCAAAUCCCAUAAAGGAUGCCCCAGUUCGGAUUGCAGGCUGCAACUCGCCUGCAUGAAGCCGGAAUCGCUAGUAAUCGCGGGUCAGCAUACCGCGGUGAAUGUGUUCCUGAGCCUUGUACAUACCGCCCGUCAAGCCACGAAAGUGGGGGGGGCUUAAAGCCGCCGUGCCAACCCGCAAGGGAAGCAGGCGUCUAGAGUCAACUCCGUGAUUGGGACUAAGUCGUAACAAGGUAGCCGUAGGGGAACCUGCGGCUG
RNAcentral lists this ribosomal RNA (1211 nucleotides) under metagenome. RNAcentral describes it as "bacterial SSU rRNA". It matches the Rfam family "Bacterial small subunit ribosomal RNA", at positions 318 to 1520 of the family's 1533-position model. The record is from RNAcentral.